UACGAAGGGGGCUAGCGUUGUUCGGAAUCACUGGGCGUAAAGGGCGCGUAGGCGGCCGAUCAAGUCGGGGGUGAAAGCCUGUGGCUUAACCACAGAAUGGCCUUCGAUACUGUUUGGCUUGAGACCGGAAGAGGUUAGUGGAACUGCGAGUGUAGAGGUGAAAUUCGUAGAUAUUCGCAAGAACACCAGUGGCGAAGGCAGCUCGCUGGGACGUUACUGACGCUGAGACGCGAAAGCGUGGGGAGCAAACAGG
Molecule: ribosomal RNA, 253 nt
Filed under: uncultured bacterium
Lineage: Bacteria
Description: partial 16S ribosomal RNA
Rfam family: Bacterial small subunit ribosomal RNA
Source: RNAcentral